CUCAGGAUCAAACCAAUAGUUAUACUUGGUUGGAUCGAUUGACGUCUAUAUGUUAAAUCAAUUGACCUAAAGACUUGAUUCAGCUCAGUGGCUUGAGCCUGAAUCACUUAAGCUAAUCUAUUUGAAACCAAUUAAUCAAUUGAUGUCUAAGAUAAAUGUUUGAAAGGUGGUUAUUUAAUUAGGAUCUUUGAUUCUUCAAAGAGGUACCUCCCAUCGAUCUCCACUUACCAAGC
RNAcentral lists this long non-coding RNA (233 nucleotides) under Elaeis guineensis (African oil palm). Its description in RNAcentral is "long non-coding RNA (EGUI_LNC035983)". The record is from RNAcentral. Lineage: Eukaryota; Viridiplantae; Streptophyta; Magnoliopsida; Arecales; Arecaceae.